Junco hyemalis (dark-eyed junco) is the source of this 1981-nucleotide long non-coding RNA. NCBI's taxonomy places the organism in Eukaryota, Metazoa, Chordata, Aves, Passeriformes, Passerellidae. The record is from Ensembl.
CUGAAAUGUCCAGAAGGAAAUGGGAGGCUGCCAAAAAAUUGAUUUUUUGUUAUAGUGUCAAUAAUCACAUCAGGGGGAAUCACAUCAGAAAUGGGCAGAAAUGGACAGAAAUUUGCCUUAAAUGGACAAACUAUCAGAAAUGUCCAUAAAUGGGCAGAAAUUAACAUAAAUGGACAGUAAUUAACCUAAAUGGACAUAAAUGGACAGAAAUUAACAUAAAUGGACAUAAAUUACCAGAAAUGGACAGAAAUGGACAGAAAUGAACAGAACUGAGAUCCUGCUCUGGUCUGAGCAAUAAAACAAAUAAUUAACGAGCAGUUGGCAGUGAUUUCAUUUAAUCCCACAUUUCCCCUUCAAUCUCACAAUUAUCCAAUGAAAAAACACCCCAAAACAUCAUCCUUUUAACUGGAAACCGGAUUCCAGGUGGGAGCCCAGAAACUGCUCCGAAACUGAGAUUCCAGGAUCCAAACCAGCCUCAACUUCAGGCAAUAAUUCCCAGAUUUCUGCCUGUUUAUUUUCCUGCUGGGUGGUGUUGGCUGCUCCCUUCCAAGCCUGGAACUGCCCCGAUAAAAUCUGGGGGACAAUGAGGGUUGAGGACGGUGCUCUGCCCCCAUCUGGGAUGAUGACACCGAUGAUUUCCUCUCUGCCAAGCGGCCUCGGAGCCCAAUUUGGAAAAUUAUAGGGAAGAGCAAAGCAGCUGCAGCAGCUUCCUCUGAUUUCAUCUCCGUAUGCAAAGCAGCCGGGAAGGAUCAGAGCGGAGCCCUGGAAUUCCUGAAGCCAGAAAAUCAAUUUAUGGGCCACAACAACAACAACAACAACAUCAACAACAACAACAGCAUAAUCAGCGUGCCAGGAAAAAACAGGAUGAGGAAUGUUCCAGGUAAAAUCUCUGGAGUUGGUUUGUUUGAGGAUAUAAAAGUGCUCCUGACUGGUGGCCCUGGAGCUGCCUCUACUGACUCGUUCUCCUCGCUGACUGGGUAAGUCAGAUUUAACUGAAUCAGCUCCUAAUUAGAGGCAAUUUGGUUUAUGGGGAGCUUUGAACUGAGGUUUUAUAUCCUAUCCUAAAUCAAGGGUAGAGUUUAUUCUCCAAGCCCGUUCUUGCGUGGGAAGUGGGGCUUGGGAUUAAGGUGGUUAAAAGGGAAGAGAGGAAUGGGAGUUUUAAAAUAGCUGAUGGGAGGAAUUUUUAGGAAUUGAACAUUUAUUUAUUUAUGGAGAAGGAUCACUCCAAACCCCUGAUCAGGGUGGGAUUGAUUCCCAACAGGAAAGGGAAUGAAGUGGGAGAAGGGGUCGGAAUGAAAUGGGAAAAGGACAGGGAGGUUCCUCCCAGAAUUCAUUCUGGGAAUAGGAACAGGACAAAAUGCAGAAAAGCUUUGGGGUGACCCAAUUGUGGCCUUCCAGGACCUGAAGGAGCCAAAAGGAACAUGAGAAGAGACAAUUUCCAAGGGAUGGAGUGCAAGGAAAAGGGGGAAUGAGUUCACACUGAUGGACAGGAGGUUUGGAUGGGAUUUUAGGGAUAAAUCCUUCCCUAUGAGCGUGGGGAGGCUCUGAAAUGGAAUUCCCAGGAAAGCUGUGGCAGCCCCAUCCCUGAAACUGUCCAAGACCAGGUGGGACAGGGUUUGGGGUCCAUGGAAAGUGUCCCUGCCCAUGCCAGGGAUCAGAACUGGUCCUUCAAGGUCCAUUCCGUGAUUCCAUGGAGCAGUAGAGAGGAGUGGGAACAGAAUCAGAAACAUUUCCCCACAAUUCAUCUCCUUUGAUUGGUGCAAUUUAUGGAAAAGUGGAUUGUGCCUUAGAAAGGAUGAUUUUUAAAAAUUAUGAUUUUAAUUUUUUAACCACAAACUCAUUUAUUCAGAUUAUUUAAUCCCACACAUCUGCACCUGUCCAUCCAAACACCAUCCAGCAAAUCCCCAUUCCCAGCUCCAUUUGGAAUCCAGGAAAUUCCAAAGGGAAUAAUCCCCCAUACACCUCUAAUUUCCUGCAGGAU